This 253-nucleotide ribosomal RNA is filed under the name uncultured bacterium. RNAcentral's name for it is "partial 16S ribosomal RNA". It matches the Rfam family "Bacterial small subunit ribosomal RNA", at positions 524 to 776 of the family's 1533-position model. The record is from RNAcentral.
UACGAAGGGGGCUAGCGUUGUUCGGAAUUACUGGGCGUAAAGGGCUCGUAGGCGGUCUGUUGCGUCGGGAGUGAAAACUCAGGGCUUAACCCUGAGCCUGCUUCCGAUACGGGCAGACUAGAGGUAUGCAGGGGAGAACGGAAUUCCUGGUGUAGCGGUGAAAUGCGCAGAUAUCAGGAGGAACACCGGUGGCGAAGGCGGUUCUCUGGGCAUUACCUGACGCUGAGGAGCGAAAGUGUGGGGAGCAAACAGG